RNAcentral lists this ribosomal RNA (705 nucleotides) under Triticum aestivum (bread wheat). RNAcentral's name for it is "partial small subunit ribosomal RNA". Lineage: Eukaryota; Viridiplantae; Streptophyta; Magnoliopsida; Poales; Poaceae. The record is from RNAcentral.
AUGUUUGCCCCUGCGCGGCGUGGUUCGCAGUUUUGGAAAGCCCUUGUUAAAGUUCGGCCAAUUUUUUUGGAGCACGUUAAGUUUUGUGUGGGUAAUGGGUCUGCUGUUCGUUUUUGGUUAGAUUGGUGGUCCGGGGAUGCUCCCCUGGCUGUUAGCUUUCUGGUUCUGUUCUCUUAUUGCCCCAAUCCGCAAAUCUCCAUCGCGGAGGUGGCUGCUAAUAAUUGGGACUUGGCUUUUCGUCGGGCCCUGUCUCCUGCAGAGUUGGAAGAAUGGCAAAGUCUUUCUGCCCUCUUCCCUGUGCUCUCGGAGGAGGCUGACUCUGUGGUUUGGCCACUUACGACCUCUGGGCUAUUCUCGGUCAAAUCGUUGUAUUCUAGACUCAUUGGUGGUACUACUUCGGCUCGCUUCUCUUGUAUUUGGAAAUCUAAGGUCCCUCCUAAGAUUAAGAUUUUCCUCUGGCAAGCCUUCCGAGGUCGCCUUCUUUCUGCUGAUCAGAUCAAAAAACGCAAUGGGUCGGGCUCGGAAUUCUGUAACUUGUGUGGGGCUUUGGAAAACUCUAAUCACAUCUUUUUCAACUGUGUUCUUGCCAAAUUAGUUUGGUCUUGCGUAAGAUCAUGGCUUCGGGUCUCCUGGGAUCCCUCCUCUUUCGCAGACACUAGAACCCUAGCCAAAUCUCUGGUAGGGGUCACCAAGAGGGUAUUCUGA